AAUGUAUUCCCUCCGUCCCAUAUUAAGUGCAGAAAUAUUACAUGUAUCUACACGCUUUUUAGAUAUAGAUACAUUCUUAUUUGGACAAAUUUGAGUCACUUAAUAUGGGACGGAGGGAGUACUUC
This is a non-coding RNA of Brachypodium distachyon (stiff brome), 125 nucleotides long. The record is from Rfam. NCBI's taxonomy places the organism in Eukaryota, Viridiplantae, Streptophyta, Magnoliopsida, Poales, Poaceae.